Molecule: ribosomal RNA, 1361 nt
Filed under: uncultured bacterium
Lineage: Bacteria
Description: bacterial SSU rRNA
Rfam family: Bacterial small subunit ribosomal RNA
Source: RNAcentral
AUCGUUCGCUGGCGGCAGGCCUAACACAUGCAAGUCGAGCGGUAGAGAGAAGCUUGCUUUUCUUGAGAGCGGCGGACGGGUGAGUAAUGCCUAGGAAUCUGCCUGGUAGUGGGGGAUAACGUUCGGAAACGGACGCUAAUACCGCAUACGUCCUACGGGAGAAAGCAGGGGACCUUCGGGCCUUGCGCUAUCAGAUGAGCCUAGGUCGGAUUAGCUAGUUGGUGAGGUAAUGGCUCACCAAGGCGACGAUCCGUAACUGGUCUGAGAGGAUGAUCAGUCACACUGGAACUGAGACACGGUCCAGACUCCUACGGGAGGCAGCAGUGGGGAAUAUUGGACAAUGGGCGAAAGCCUGAUCCAGCCAUGCCGCGUGUGUGAAGAAGGUCUUCGGAUUGUAAAGCACUUUAAGUUGGGAGGAAGGGCAGUAAAUUAAUACUUUGCUGUUUUGACGUUACCGACAGAAUAAGCACCGGCUAACUCUGUGCCAGCAGCCGCGGUAAUACAGAGGGUGCAAGCGUUAAUCGGAAUUACUGGGCGUAUAGCGCGCGUAGGUGGUUUGUUAAGUUGGAUGUGAAAUCCCCGGGCUCAACCUGGGAACUGCAUUCAAAAAUGAACUGAUUAGAAUUAUGGUGGAGGGUGGUUGAAAUUCCCUGUGUAGCGGUGAAAUGCGUAGAUAUAGGAAAGAACCCCAAGGGCGAAGGCGACCACCUGGGAUAAUUCUGACACUGAGGUGCGAAAGCGGGGGGAGCAAACAGGAUUAGAUACCCUGGUAGUCCACGCCGUAAACGAUGUCAACUAGCCGUUGGAAGCCUUGAGCUUUUAGUGGCGCAGCUAACGCAUUAAGUUGACCGCCUGGGGAGUACGGCCGCAAGGUUAAAACUCAAAUGAAUUGACGGGGGCCCGCACAAGCGGUGGAGCAUGUGGUUUAAUUCGAAGCAACGCGAAGAACCUUACCAGGCCUUGACAUCCAAUGAACUUUCUAGAGAUAGAUUGGUGCCUUCGGGAACAUUGAGACAGGUGCUGCAUGGCUGUCGUCAGCUCGUGUCGUGAGAUGUUGGGUUAAGUCCCGUAACGAGCGCAACCCUUGUCCUUAGUUACCAGCACGUCAUGGUGGGCACUCUAAGGAGACUGCCGGUGACAAACCGGAGGAAGGUGGGGAUGACGUCAAGUCAUCAUGGCCCUUACGGCCUGGGCUACACACGUGCUACAAUGGUCGGUACAGAGGGUUGCCAAGCCGCGAGGUGGAGCUAAUCCCACAAAACCGAUCGUAGUCCGGAUCGCAGUCUGCAACUCGACUGCGUGAAGUCGGAAUCGCUAGUAAUCGCGAAUCAGAAUGUCGCGGUGAAUACGUUCCCGGGCCU